UUUGAAGAUUUUUCUUUCAUUUUGUUUCGCUUUUGUUUUAAGUUGCCUGAACCUGGAGAUGGGUGAGACGGAAGAAAAACCACUCACAUCUGAGGAAAAACUAUUUGUGUCUGAGGAACACAUAGGGAGAAAGGAUGGAUGGACAUUUCAGGAGGAUACAAAGGGUGAUAUAAUGAUUUUUUGUUGUUCCAUUUUUGUUUCAUUCUGUUUUGGUUUUGUUUGGCGUUUUCUUGUUGAGUUGUAUUAUAGUAGAAAUAUGGGAUCAGAAAUUAGUAAAAAACAAACUGAAAGAGUGUUAAGUAAAUUGUUAGAGGAAGGAGGCAUCCCAGUAAAAUCAAGAGCAGUCAGGGCAUAGGUUGAUACAAUACAAAAAUGUAGCCCAUGGCUUUUUAAGGAGGAGUUGUUAAAUAUAUCACAAUGGAACCAUCAUGGUGAAGAUUUAAAAAGAAUAGAAAAGAAAAGCCCAGGAACUCUUCCAGUUGACACAUUGCCAUAGUGGACAUUCGUAUCUUGUUUGCUUAGUCCAAAGAAUUCAGUUCAGACAAUGGUAGAGGAAGGAGAAGACAUAUUGAUUCAAGUAAAAGAGAAGGUCUCUCAAGUUAUUCAGACAGAGGAAAAAAUUCAAGUAAAAGAGAAGGUCUCUCUAGCUAGUCAGACAGAGGAAGCAAGUUUAGAGCAGAAAAAGCCAUCAGGGGAAAAGUUACAACAGGAGACUGCUACUAACACCUUUCUAUCACCAAAGGGCGUAAGUGUCCAACCAACAGCGCCACCUCCAUAUGCUGGGAGGCCACCAACCCCCAUAGUUGAUAGAUGGGAUCUUGAUACAGGACCUCAAAUAUUAGCAUGCCCUGUAUUUGAGCAGGCAAGAGGGCAGCGAAUUCACCAUGCUUUAGAUUUCAAAACAGUAAAGCAGCUAAAAGAGGCUGUAACAACCUAUGGUCCUCAAGAACCCUUCACUGUAAGCAUGGUCGAAUCCAUUACCAACUUGAACAUGUCGCCAGCAGAUUGGACUAGUAUGUGUAAAGCUGUGCUAAAUGGAGGACUUUACCUGUUAUGGAAGGUUGCCAAUGAGGAAUUUUGCAAGGAGACGGCUAGGCGAAAUGCAGUAGCCAGUUAUCCUCAGAGAAAUCUAGGUAUGUUGUUAGGAAAGGAACCUUAUGAGGAUCAGCAGCAACAAACUGCAUAUGAUCCUGCCAUAUACUUACAAAUUGCUGUAGAUGUGGUUAGAGCAUGGAAGACUUUACAAGGACAUGGAGGUUUACAAGGUCAAUUAUCUAAGGUAAUACAAGGAGCUAAUGAACCUUAUGCUGAAUUUGUAGAUAGGCUUAUUCAAACAGCUACCAGAGUUUUGGGGAAUACAGAACAAGCAAUGCCAUCAAUAAAUCAACUGGCUUAUGAGCAAGCAAAUCGUUGGUGCAGAGAAGUCAUUAGACAAUGGAAAAAUGAAGAUUUAAACACAUAUAUUUAAUUAUGUAGAGACAUUAAUGAAUAAGGGCAAGUCUUAGCAGUUGCAGUACAACAGGCUUUAGAUGCCAUGCCAAAAACAUGCUACAAUUGUGAACAAACAGGACAUUUUACAAGGAAUUGCCCCAUAGGAGGAGGGUUUAACAAAACUAGGUAUCAAAGGAGUAGAAUAUCGGGUAUUUGCCCACGAUGCUGUAGAGGGAGAUAUUGGGCUAAUGAAUGCCAUUCUCAAACCACCAUAGAGGGUACUCCAUUAUUAAAAAAAAUGAACAAGGACCAGGUGUCUAUCCACGAAAUCAAGGAGAAAGGCAUCAGACUCCAUUGUCAAAAAACGGACAGGUGGGCCCAAUGCUCUGGGUCCCAUGACCACAAAUAUACGGGGCACUGGAGGAACCCAGCAACACCAUCAGGGUAGUGCCCAGGACACAUUAUCCAUUAGAUCCCUCACUAGACAAACCAGAGGAAUCACAGGAUUGGACAUCUGCGUCUCCACCAGAACAGUACUAACUCCAGAGAUGGGAGUUCAAAUCAUUCCCACAGGGGUAAAAGGACCUCUUCCCAAAGGAACAGUAGGCUUAUUAUUGGGGCGCAGUUCUUCUAUUCUAAAAGGACUUAUGAUAAGUCCUGGGGUAAUUGAUCCUGAUUAUGAAGGUGAAAUAAAAAUUAUAGCCAGUUCUCCUAAGGGUAUAUCACCAGGAGAUAGAAUAGCACAGUUAUUAAGAAUACCCAGCCUACAUGAUAAAUUUUCCAGUUGUAAUGUAGAAAGAGGUUCCAGGGGAUUAGGUUUCAUAGGUG
Molecule: long non-coding RNA, 2259 nt
Filed under: Marmota monax (woodchuck)
Lineage: Eukaryota; Metazoa; Chordata; Mammalia; Rodentia; Sciuridae
Source: RNAcentral